This 252-nucleotide ribosomal RNA is filed under the name uncultured bacterium. RNAcentral's name for it is "partial 16S ribosomal RNA". It matches the Rfam family "Bacterial small subunit ribosomal RNA", at positions 524 to 776 of the family's 1533-position model. The record is from RNAcentral.
UACGGAGGAUCCAAGCGUUAUCCGGAUUUAUUGGGUUUAAAGGGUGCGUAGGCGCUUAUUAAGUCAGGGGUGAAAGACGGUGGCUCAACCAUCGCAGUGCCUUUGAUACUGAUGAGCUUGAAUGAACUAGAGGUAGGCGGAAUGUGACAAGUAGCGGUGAAAUGCAUAGAUAUGUCACAGAACACCGAUUGCGAAGGCAGCUUUACUAUGGUUUAUUUGACGCUGAGGCACGAAAGCGUGGGAUCAAACAGG